CCUACGGGAGGCAGCAGUGAGGAAUAUUGGUCAAUGGACGAGAGUCUGAACCAGCCAAGUAGCGUGAAGGAUGACUGCCCUAUGGGUUGUAAACUUCUUUUAUAUGGGAAUAAAAUGUUCCACGUGUGGGAUUUUGUAUGUACCAUAUGAAUAAGGAUCGGCUAACUCCGUGCCAGCAGCCGCGGUAAUACGGAGGAUCCGAGCGUUAUCCGGAUUUAUUGGGUUUAAAGGGUGCGUAGGUGGAUUGUUAAGUCAGUUGUGAAAGUUUGCGGCUCAACCGGAAAAUUGCAGUUGAAACUGGCAGGCUUGAGUACAGUAGAGGUGGGCGGAAUGCGUGGUGUAGCGGUGAAAUGCUUAGAUAUCACGAAGAACACCGAUUGCGAAGGCAGCUCACUGGACUACAACUGACACUGAGGCUCGAAAGUGUGGGUAUCAAACAGGAUUAGAUACCCCUGUAGUC
RNAcentral lists this ribosomal RNA (460 nucleotides) under uncultured bacterium. Its description in RNAcentral is "partial 16S ribosomal RNA". It matches the Rfam family "Bacterial small subunit ribosomal RNA", at positions 338 to 795 of the family's 1533-position model. The record is from RNAcentral.